AAAUAAACAGCCAUGUUGCUCACACAAAGCCUGUUUGGUGGUCUCUUCACACGGACGCACAUGAAAGUAUCUGUAUGAGUCAGAUUUCAUGCUGCUGAUAAAGACAUACCCGAGACUGGGAAGAAAAAGAGGUUUAGUUGGACUUACAGUUCCACAUGGCUGGGGAGGUCUCAGAAUCAUGGCAGGAGGCAAAAGGCACUUCUUACAUGGUGGCAGCAAGAGAAAAUGAGGAAGAAGCAAAAGCAGAAACCCCUGAUAAACCCAUCAGAUCUCCUGAGCUUUAUUCACUAUCACAGGAAUGACCAGCCCCCAUGAUUCAAUUACCUCCCCCUGGUUCCCUCCCACAACACGUGGGAAUUCUGGGAGAUACAAUUCAAGUUGAGAUUCGGGUGGAGAUCCAGCCAAACCAUAUCAUUAUCUUAAUUGACAUCAGUGUCCCGGUGGUCUUCUGCCAGUGAAUGAUACCUACUAUUACUAAAGUAUGUCCCUCAAAGAUGAGUGCCAUAGCAAAAGACCUUUGUAAAAUAAUAAAAAAAAAAAAACUGCUCUCCUACGGGAGCUGAACAGAAGUCUACAAAAUAGGCUGGGGCUCACCCUGACCUUCCUUUAACUACCACAAAUCACUCCUCUUUGCUGAGUAACUUACCAUUGCCUCUCAAUUUUGUUUCAUUUCAGGCAUUACACCUAAAAGUAAUUUGAGCACCUUGAGCUUAGAGCCUACCUUGGCUAAUGUGAAACACUCCAGCUGUGCUAAGAUGGUCCUCAAUAGUCAACAAGCACUUCUGAAAGUCUGGUAGGUGUGUGCAUUUGAAUGAAUCCUCAGUCUUCUCUAAUUCUGUCUGGAAGGAUUCAUUAAAGGCCUUUCUCAUGUCUUGAUUAAUUGCCCUUCAAGGAUAAAUUUUCACGACAUAUAGAAGCCGUUUUUAUCUACAGCAUCAAUUUUACUGCUAUAAAUGAGCAAAAUGAGUGUCCCAUCUCUGGACAUACCUGGUUAUGCAAGAACUUAACAUCCCCUGAUGCUUUGUGAAAAGAACAUUUAAGAUCUUUUGCCCAUGUAAAAUGGAAUCCAUCUAUUAAAAUUGUACCUUGAAUUGCUAAGUUUGAAAAGAUCAUACAAUAUCUCAUCUUUGGUUUUUGAACUGCAGAAAGUUAAUCUGAAAUAGUUCAAUUUGGGUAGUAGAAUUUCCAAAAGCUGCCCAAAAGACAAAAUCUAUUUGAAAAAAGAAAAAAAACCAGCAAAGUGGGAACAGGUUAAGUUGUCUUUCCUUUCCUUUGGUCAGUAUCAUUCAGUUUGGAUUAUAAUCCAUGAUUUCUGAAAUAUAACCCACUUCAUUUGCCCUUAAAGACUAAGACCUCUAUUAAAAGCAGAGCAUUUCUUGUCAUUCUUUCCAUUGUAUUGACCACUGAGCGAUUCAUUAACAAUUGAUCUGCAUCUCCUUAAAGGAAAAAAAAAACCAGGUCAAUAGGAAGUCAAUCUGUUGAGAAGGAAUAGAGGAAAUAUGUGAUGCAGCAAGGCACAUCUGUAAUAAGACUGGAGGGAUGUAGGCAAUGGAGAGAACAGUGACAUGGCCCCUACAAAAAUCCAAUUUCUGAAGUCAGACAAACAGACUAAACUAGAGUUUAACACAGACAAACCUUUAUGCUAGAAAAGUUUAUUUGCCACCUAUUCCUGAUUUAGCCAUUGUGAUUUCUCUUUUGCAUAGUGUUUUGAAUGGAAAUUCACAGGUUACAAUGUUAAGAAGUUACUAAAGAACAAUUGAGGACAACAUAACUGAAAAUGGGGUGGUAAAAAGAACUGUUAAACUAUUUCUUUGAGCCUUAGUAAACCAUUUCCCACAAUUAUUCUAAAUUCAAAUUGGUCACUGAUGACAAAUAAGCAAUACUUUCAAACAAGUUUUGUUCUCCUGUCUAAAACUCUAUUUAACAUUUGAGAUAGUCAUUAGCUAAAAUAGAUUCUCUGACUCAAGGCAACAUUACCUUCUGCUAGCCUUGGCAUUAGAGUGGUUGGAAGAAGGAGGCUUCAUGUUCUGCAGUUGUCAGAAGAAAACAAACCACUUAAAUUUAUAACAAGUUACCAGCUAGAAUCUGUUGUAAUAAUCACAGUCUUUUGUGAAAAUCAAUGAAGUGCAUGGCAUUUUAAUUCACUAUCUCUGAUCCUCAAGGCAACCAAGCAAGUUGGUAUUAUGAUUACUCUGUCUUAGAUAGAAAUCAAGGUUCAAAGAAGUUACAUGUGCCCCACAUCGAAUAGCUCAUAAAUCCUAAAGUUAAUAUUGGAAGUCAAGUCUUACUAUUUCAAAACUCAUGCUCAAUCUACUGCUAACCUGUAGUCGUCUAGCUUUAAUUUAUAAUAUACAAUAAAACCUUACCUGGAACUCUAAUAAGUAAACCAGAUAAAAUAAAAGAGGCUCUGGUUGAAUUGGGAGGAGAAAGCCUGGAGCUUGACUACUUAGAUUCCUUCCCCUUUUCCCAACCCUCUCUGUAGCAGCCCCCAGUGCUCUGCUCUGUAGCACUGGGGGUGGCUACAGAGAGGCUCUGUAGGAAACCCUAUAGUUGGCCUUCUGUUGGGGCUCUUCCCAGCAACAUCUUGCUCCAUAAACACAAGCACCUGUAUGCAUAUCAGGGGUCAGUCACAAACUCGGAUGCUUACAGGUGCCCCAAACACAAUCCUGCUGCACCUUUGGAGUGAUGGAAGUUUCUUUUCAUUCCCUAGCCAUGAGUUUUAAAGUUAUUGGUCUCUCAACCAAUGGGGUUUUUUUAAUUGAAUUUUAAUUUCUGAAUCCAAAUUCCAAACUCAGAAUACUGAGGAAUGAUAUUAAUAGAAGGCCAUGGAAACAUACGAUAGUCAAUAAAAAGAGAAAGAUCUCAUUUAAUAAACAUGGUACAUAACCUAUAAACUUGACAUUCUGCAUUUUUGUAUACUGCAAACCCAUAUACGGUAUAUGUGCUAUGUGUAUUUCAAAGUAUAGUAUGCAUGUACCCAAACGUAAACAGUCAAUUAAUUUGUUCCCAGCGGCAGUUCAUUACCAACAUCACAAGCAAAACAUGCGCUCUCCCUGGGCAUUGAAGGUCCACCGGAAAUUAAGCAGACGGGGCUGCAAAGCACCUCAGAGUGAAGCCAGCCAGCUUCAUCUGCUGCAGCAGGCUGGAGGCAAGCACAAGGAGCGGCAGGAAUGAAAGGCUUCAGCGCCUUCCCUGGUGUCUCUGUGCCUUCUGAGUUUUCAGCUGACAUGGAGCAGUGAUUCCCUGAAAAGGAUGGGAUCUUGCUCCCUCAAAGAUCAGCCUUCUUUGAUGAGCCUGCUCCAGGUGGAGUGGAGCAACCACUUUAGCUUUUUAGUGCAGAGAAGACUUAGGAAGUUUCAUUUUCCUUGACUGGGGUUCUGCUUUCUGUACUGACCCUUCCUGGUCAGUGGGGAGCUCGGAGCUCUGAGUUGGAGCACCUUACCAAAAUCUUCUCUGAGUGGGGUUAAGUAAGCCAGCAGACUCUGCAAGAACAGAGCCUUGCUGAAUUUAGCUUUCCAGAAAGCCCUAUUUUAAGGGAACUCAGUAUUUCAGCAAGAUGCUGGAUUAGGGGGAGAAAACAAGUAGUCUGUUAAUUCUUUGUUGUUGUCAGCAGCCUUGCAGGUUCCUGGACCAUGACACAUCAGCACAGUCCUAAGUAACAGAAGACUCAGGUCCUCACCAUGACCUCAAACAGCAUGAUCUCUGUGAAUCUCAGUAAAUCAUUCUGAGCUUCACUUUCCUUGUUCACACCAUAUAGCUAUUUAUAUCUGCUCCACAUGAUGGGCAAGGUCACUGGGAAGUGUAGAUUAUAUAAGGCAUGGGAAUGGCUUCACAGGUUCAUGUGGGACAUCACAUGGUGAGGCACAGAGAUCAGAAGGUUUGGGUUCAAAUCAGCUCUGCCGAGCUGGAGAAACCAUGUUAGUACUUGACCCUGGUGUUUCAAACUCAAAAUCAGAAUAAGAUUAGGGAUAGGAAAAAGACCACACGAGAUACUUCUGAGUUUUAAAUGAUUUAUUUGAAUGAGGUCAACUUUCGUUCACUUCUAAAGGAAGAUAGAAGUGUGAGUUUUGUAAUUAGCCUAGAGAACCGGGGGAGCAAGACCCUACUGAACAAGCCUCCUCCAGAGCUCGCCCCAAAGUCUGGAGUGCAAAAUGUCCACCUCGUUAUGAUUAAUGAAGCCUCUGGAUAUAGAUCAGAAGACUAGAAAUGUCUGUGAAAGGAGCUCUUCCAGGGGCUCAGCCAAAACCAGGAGAAUUGCCCUCGACUCCUCUCUUUCCUUGUUUCUAAGCCAUCGGCAAUUUUGCUCAGCUCCAUCGUCAGGAAGUCCCAAAUCAGACCACUGCUCCCUGAUUCCACAGCUUCCGUCCUGGUCCAGGCUCCAUAAUCUCCCCCUGAACCUCUGAAAGAGCCUCUUAAGCAGACUCCUGCCGCUCCCCACCCUUGCUUCUCUUGUCUGUUUCUUCAAGCAGCCAAAGGGAUCCCUGUUAAAAUGUUAAGUGCAAUCUCAUCAGCCUCUGUUCAAAACCCUCAGAUGGCUUUAAGCAGAGUAAAAUCCAUAAUUCUCACCACAGCCAGGGGGACCUUGGUGACCUCAUUCCUCCAUGAGGGUAUCUCCCUCCACUCUCCUCAUCCCGUUUUCUGUUCCAGAUGCACUGACCAUCUAGUCCUACCUGGGAACAUGAACACCAGGAAUGCUGCUGCCUGGGAAGACUUUCACUUUCUGUUCUUUCUGCCUGAAACACUCCUUCCUGGGAAUCCACAUUAAUCCAUAUUCUUUCUUUGCUAGAGUCUGACUGAAAUAUCAUCUGUGCAGAGAGGCCUAUCUUACCACCCUAUUUUAAAUAAUACAUGUAUGUGUACGCACACCCAUGUGUAUGCACUCUCCAUCUCCUUACUUGCUUUAUUUUUCUUUAUUCACUCAUCAUCUUCUUCUAUACAUCCAUUCAUUUACUCUUCUAUCGUCUGUUUUAUACUCCUGCCCUUGAUUAGAAUAUAAAUUUCCUAAGAGUACAGACUUGGUCUGUUUGAUUCACUCUUCCAGUGCCCAAAAUAGUGUCUGACACAUAUCAAUUAUUUAAUAAUUAUUUGCAGAUAUGACAGCAUGAA
Molecule: long non-coding RNA, 5106 nt
Filed under: Homo sapiens (human)
Lineage: Eukaryota; Metazoa; Chordata; Mammalia; Primates; Hominidae
Description: non-protein coding lnc-SPTLC3-8:2
Source: RNAcentral